UGGGGUGUAGUUCAGUGACAGACCACUUGCCUAGCAGGCUUAAGGCCUGGGUUCAAUUCCUAGCACCACAA
RNAcentral lists this transfer RNA (71 nucleotides) under Heterocephalus glaber (naked mole-rat). It matches the Rfam family "tRNA". Rfam says of the family: Transfer RNA (tRNA) molecules are approximately 80 nucleotides in length. Their secondary structure includes four short double-helical elements and three loops (D, anti-codon, and T loops). Further hydrogen bonds mediate the characteristic L-shaped molecular structure. tRNAs have two regions of fundamental functional importance: the anti-codon, which is responsible for specific mRNA codon recognition, and the 3' end, to which the tRNAs corresponding amino acid is attached (by aminoacyl-tRNA synthetases). tRNAs cope with the degeneracy of the genetic code in two manners: having more than one tRNA (with a specific anti-codon) for a particular amino acid; and 'wobble' base-pairing, i.e. permitting non-standard base-pairing at the 3rd anti-codon position. The record is from Rfam by way of RNAcentral. Lineage: Eukaryota; Metazoa; Chordata; Mammalia; Rodentia; Bathyergidae.